ACGAGUUUGAUCCUGGCUCAGAUUGAACGCUGGCGGCAUGCUUUACACAUGCAAGUCGAACGGUAACAGGCCUUCGGGUGCUGACGAGUGGCGAACGGGUGAGUAAUGCAUCGGAACGUGCCCAAUCGUGGGGGAUAACGUAGCGAAAGUUACGCUAAUACCGCAUAAGCCCUGAGGGGGAAAGCAGGGGAUCGCAAGACCUUGCGCGAAUGGAGCGGCCGAUGUCAGAUUAGCUAGUUGGUGGGGUAAAGGCCUACCAAGGCGACGAUCUGUAGCGGGUCUGAGAGGAUGAUCCGCCACACUGGGACUGAGACACGGCCCAGACUCCUACGGGAGGCAGCAGUGGGGAAUUUUGGACAAUGGGCGCAAGCCUGAUCCAGCCAUGCCGCGUGCGGGACGAAGGCCUUCGGGUUGUAAACCGCUUUCAGCCGGAAAGAAAUCGCCAAGGCUAAUAUCCUUGGUGGAUGACGGUACCGGAAGAAGAAGCACCGGCUAACUACGUG
RNAcentral lists this ribosomal RNA (503 nucleotides) under uncultured bacterium. Its description in RNAcentral is "bacterial SSU rRNA". It matches the Rfam family "Bacterial small subunit ribosomal RNA", at positions 1 to 507 of the family's 1533-position model. The record is from RNAcentral.